GUUCAAAAUCUGUAUUCUUUCUUUCGCCUACUUUCUCUCAAAACAAUUCUAUAUUGUUUUUCUUAUAUAUUUUAUUUAUACAUAUAAUAAUAAGGCUCUACCUUGUUUUGAGUAUUUUAAACUCCCAAUCACCGCUACCCAUUUUCCGAUUGAUCUGAGCCUCAGGGCUCUGCCCGACUAAGUUGUUGGGAUUUGGUCCCGGGACUUCGGGACAAGGUUGAUUUAGGGGUACUAUACUUACCACAAGUGCAAUAUAUAUUUUUAAUAGCCCAAAAGUUAUACCCAAAAUUUAUACCAGGAAAUUUUCUAGUUGAAACCUAAAGUUACAAAGUGGGUCCAUUCUCUUUUCUCACUAUUUUAUUCUCUUUUUGUAAUUUACCCAAAACUAUUAUUUAUUAUUCUAUUCUCAUCAAAAGUCAUAUCUACUAUUUUAUUUACUCAAUAGGAAACCCUAAUUGAGACACCCAAGUAAUUCUACACAAUCCCUAAAAUUUUCAGAAUAAACAGAAGCAGGUUCAGGGCCCCUAAAACUCAGGGGGGUAUUUCCUACUCAACGAUUAUCCAAAUAAAAAGCUGUCUAAAUUGAAUUUCGAGAUUCCAUCGACUCAUCAAGGCUAGUCCCACACGCGGCAAGCCUAUAGUAAUUAGGUGUCCGUUACGGACCGUAAGGGAUAAUACUUACGGUCCGUAAGCAUGUCCAAAUUCGUGUAUAAAUAGCAGACUUUGGGACUGGAAAUUGGGCGAUAGAACGACGUUCAAAUUCAUUUCCUACGUCGAGUUAUUUGCUGUUCACUUCACAACACACACAAAAUCAAUAAUUAGUAGAGAGGGGUGCUGCUACGAUACAGGGUAUUAACUCGAUCGCUAUUACGAUUCAUUUUCCGACCGAUCAAUAUAUCCAAUGGAUGUUUAAGUGCCACCCACAUUAGGGUUAUACUUUGUCGUUCGUCGUUAAUUCGAUGGAUGUUUAAGUAUCGUACUUUGUCGUUCGUCGUUAAAUCGAUGGAUGUUUAAGUAUCGUACUUUGUCGUUCGUCGUUAAAUCGAUGGAUGUUUAAGUAUCGCACUUUGUCGUUCGUUGUGAGAAUUUGAUCUUGUGAGUUAUCGUAAUUGUUGUAUUAAGUUACCUACCUAGUUCGUAUGCACUAGGUUACAAGGCUAAAUCAAUAGGCUAAGCUCUGCCUGUGUAAAUCUGCAAUAUAUCAAGGCUUAUCUGUAGACUAAACUUUGGCCGUAUGAAUCUGCAUGAUUAUAAUGUAAUUAUAGUAGAUUGGAGUAAGGAUUGGAUCCGGCACUAAAAGACUUCAAGAAGUGACUUAUUUUAUUAAUUAAAUCAAAUUAAGAAAUAUUGUUUUUAAAAAGCUACCUUUGUAACAAUGGAAUUUAUUCCAUCUAUUUAAAUAAAAUCCGGUGU
This 1413-nucleotide long non-coding RNA is filed under the name Helianthus annuus (common sunflower). RNAcentral's name for it is "hypothetical non coding rna". The record is from RNAcentral. Lineage: Eukaryota; Viridiplantae; Streptophyta; Magnoliopsida; Asterales; Asteraceae.